UGGGGAAUAUUGCACAAUGGGCGCAAGCCUGAUGCAGCCAUGCCGCGUGUGUGAAGAAGGCCUUCGGGUUGUAAAGCACUUUCAGCGGGGAGGAAGGCGAUAAGGUUAAUAACCUUGUCGAUUGACGUUACCCGCAGAAGAAGCACCGGCUAACUCCGUGCCAGCAGCCGCGGUAAUACGGAGGGUGCAAGCGUUAAUCGGAAUUACUGGGCGUAAAGCGCACGCAGGCGGUCUGUCAAGUCGGAUGUGAAAUCCCCGGGCUCAACCUGGGAACUGCAUUCGAAACUGGCAGGGUAGAGUCUUGUAGAGGGGGGUAGAAUUCCAGGUGUAGCGAUGAAAUGCGUAGAGAUCUGGAGGAAUACCGGUGGCGAAGGCGGCCCCCUGGACAAAGACUGACGCUCAGGUGCGAAAGCGUGGGGAGCAAACAGG
RNAcentral lists this ribosomal RNA (429 nucleotides) under Chloroflexota bacterium. RNAcentral's name for it is "Chloroflexi bacterium partial 16S ribosomal RNA". It matches the Rfam family "Bacterial small subunit ribosomal RNA", at positions 355 to 776 of the family's 1533-position model. The record is from RNAcentral. Lineage: Bacteria; Bacillati; Chloroflexota.